Non-coding RNA from Pelobates cultripes (western spadefoot toad), 300 nucleotides. The record is from the annotation of a GenBank genome assembly. Lineage: Eukaryota; Metazoa; Chordata; Amphibia; Anura; Pelobatidae.
GUCAGUGUAUUUGGCUCUAGUCAAUCAGGUCCCCAGCCAGUCACUGUCAGUGUAUUUGGCACUAGUCAAUCAGGUCCCCUGGCAGUCACUGUCAGUGUAUUUGGCACUAGUCAAUCAGGUCCCCAGACAGUCACUGUUAGUGUAUUUGGCACUAGUCAAUCAUGGUCCCCAGGCUGUCUCUGUCAGUGUAUUUGGCACUAGUCAAUCAUGGUCCCCAGGCAGUCACUGUCGGUGUAUUUGGCACUAGUCAAUCAUGGUCCCCAGGCAGUCACUGUCAGUGUAUUUGGCACUAGUCAAUCA